GCGAGGCCGAAAGGCGUAGUCGAUGGGAAACGGGUUAAUAUUCCCGUACUUCUUACAAUUGCGAUGGGGGGACGGAGAAGGCUAGGUGGGCCUGGCGACGGUUGUCCAGGUUCAAGUGCGUAGGCUUGAGAGUUAGGUAAAUCCGGCUCUCUUUAAGGCUGAGACACGACGUCGAGCACCUACGGGUGUGAAGUCAUUGAUGCCAUGCUUCCAGGAAAAGCCUCUAAGCUUCAGAUUGUAAGGAAUCGUACCCCAAACCGACACAGGUGGUCGGGUAGAG
Molecule: ribosomal RNA, 280 nt
Filed under: Vibrio parahaemolyticus
Lineage: Bacteria; Pseudomonadati; Pseudomonadota; Gammaproteobacteria; Vibrionales; Vibrionaceae
Description: partial 23S ribosomal RNA
Rfam family: Bacterial large subunit ribosomal RNA
Source: RNAcentral